CCCUUAGAUGUUCUGGGCCGCACGCGUGCUACACUGAGUGGAUCAGCGGGUCAGGUUGCGCGAAAGUGUUUCCUAAUCUUGAAAUCCGCUCGUGAUGGGGAUUGGCGGUUGCAAUUUUCCGUCAUGAACGAGGAAUACCUUGUAAGCGCGGGUCAUCAUCCCGCGCUGAAUACGUCCCUGCCCUUUGUACACACCGCCCGUCGCUCCUACCGAUUGAGUGGUCCGGUGAGGCUUUGGGAUCUGAGCGGAAAGAGCGUUUCGCUGUUUCUGCCCGGAAAACUCAGUCGAACCUUAUCAUUUAGAGGAAGGAGAAGUCGUAACA
Molecule: ribosomal RNA, 322 nt
Filed under: uncultured eukaryote
Lineage: Eukaryota
Description: partial 18S ribosomal RNA
Rfam family: Eukaryotic small subunit ribosomal RNA
Source: RNAcentral